This 429-nucleotide ribosomal RNA is filed under the name Acidobacteriota bacterium. RNAcentral's name for it is "Acidobacteria bacterium partial 16S ribosomal RNA". It matches the Rfam family "Bacterial small subunit ribosomal RNA", at positions 355 to 776 of the family's 1533-position model. Lineage: Bacteria; Pseudomonadati; Acidobacteriota. The record is from RNAcentral.
UGGGGAAUUUUGGACAAUGGGGGAAACCCUGAUCCAGCCAUCCCGCGUGUGCGAUGAAGGCCUUCGGGUUGUAAAGCACUUUUGGCAGGAAAGAAACGUCAUGGGUUAAUACCCCGUGAAACUGACGGUACCUGCAGAAUAAGCACCGGCUAACUACGUGCCAGCAGCCGCGGUAAUACGUAGGGUGCAAGCGUUAAUCGGAAUUACUGGGCGUAAAGCGUGCGCAGGCGGUUCGGAAAGAAAGAUGUGAAAUCCCAGAGCUCAACUUUGGAACUGCAUUUUUAACUACCGGGCUAGAGUGUGUCAGAGGGCGGUGGAAUUCCGCGUGUAGCAGUGAAAUGCGUAGAUAUGCGGAGGAACACCGAUGGCGAAGGCAGCCUCCUGGGAUAACACUGACGCUCAUGCACGAAAGCGUGGGGAGCAAACAGG